UACAGAGGGGGCAAGCGUUGUUCGGAAUUACUGGGCGUAAAGGGCGCGUAGGCGGCCGGUUAAGUCGAACGUGAAAUCCCCGGGCUCAACCCGGGAACUGCGUCCGAUACUGGCAGGCUUGAAUCCGGGAGAGGGAUGCGGAAUUCCAGGUGUAGCGGUGAAAUGCGUAGAUAUCUGGAGGAACACCGGUGGCGAAAGCGGCAUCCUGGACCGGCAUUGACGCUGAGGCGCGAAAGCCAGGGGAGCAAACGGG
RNAcentral lists this ribosomal RNA (253 nucleotides) under uncultured bacterium. Its description in RNAcentral is "partial 16S ribosomal RNA". It matches the Rfam family "Bacterial small subunit ribosomal RNA", at positions 524 to 776 of the family's 1533-position model. The record is from RNAcentral.